Molecule: ribosomal RNA, 396 nt
Filed under: uncultured bacterium
Lineage: Bacteria
Description: bacterial SSU rRNA
Rfam family: Bacterial small subunit ribosomal RNA
Source: RNAcentral
UAUUGGACAAUGGGGGAAACCCUGAUCCAGCCAUGCCGCGUGAGUGAUGAAGGCCCUAGGGUUGUAAAGCUCUUUCGGCGGGGAAGAUAAUGACGGUACCCGCAUAAGAAGCCCCGGCUAACUUCGUGCCAGCAGCCGCGGUAAUACGAAGGGGGCUAGCGUUGCUCGGAAUCACUGGGCGUAAAGCGCACGUAGGCGGACUCUUAAGUUAGAGGUGAAAUCCUGGAGCUCAACUCCAGAACUGCCUUUGAUACUGGGAGUCUCGAGUCCGGGAGAGGUGAGUGGAACUGCGAGUGUAGAGGUGAAAUUCGUAGAUAUUCGCAAGAACACCAGUGGCGAAGGCGGCUCACUGGCCCGGUACUGACGCUGAGGUGCGAAAGCGUGGGGAGCAAACAG